UUCCUCCAUAAGAUAAGAAAAAAGAACUUACUAUCUUUGGGAUCUGAUGCUUCACCGUUGCUAAAUACUUUAGUGGAUCGACUCUAUUACAUAAGUUGAUUCCUAACUUUUAUCCCGUAUUAUGGCAUAAGUAAGCAAAGCAGUUCUUAACUCUAUCGACCCAAUAGUUUGUUAAUUGAUCUUUACGGUGCUUUCUCUAUCAAUUCAAUCCUUUAUCCAUAGAGUAUAGUAUAUAGGCUGUAUCUAUUUCUUCCUAUUUUGGUUCUCGUGAAGUCUCUUUAUUUGCUACAGCUGAUAAAAAUCGUUGCUUUAGACGAUGCAUAUGUAGAAAGCCUAUUUUUUCUAGUCUUUACUAGUCGAUUGGAUCUUUUUUUCCUUCUUUCUAUAGUGGAGAUAGUCGCACGUAAUUGUUGGGCUGGCAGCCCACAGAUUCAGCCCAUAGUGGGCUUGGGCAGCCCACAGCCCACACCCCCUCUUAACCUAACCCUAAUUAACAUUAGGGUGGUGUGGUGGCUGCGUUUUUUGGUAGAAAAAGGCAUAAAUAGGGCAGCAACGUGGGAGAAGAAAAUAGCCAUGGGAUUCCAAAGAAAAGGAGGAAAACAAGGCAGAAAAGGAAGAGAAAGAAAGGGAAGAAUACAAGGACAAUGUAGAGAGGCUGUUCUCAAUCAUCUAGUAGUGUUCUCAUCUCAGGUUAGAUCAAAUCUAUAGUAGACUCUUGCUGUGAUUACUUGGGGAGGCUUUUAGAUAUUGUAGGUAGUGACGUGAUCCUUGUAUCCCAGUUAUUCUCUUGUGAUUGUUGCUAGGGUUUAGGGCAAGAGAUUGAUAUUUGUAUAUUCAUUAUUCUCAUAGUGGAUUAUCUCUAGUUUACCCCGUGGUUUUUACCCUUCACAUUGAAGGGGUUUUUCACGUAUAUCUUAGUGUUCUAUUUUAUUGUCGUUUCAUUUAAUUCCGCUACGUAUUAAGGUCUUCUAGUAUUUGUUCAUAUACAAAGAUUAUUCCUGUUUAUAUCCCCAUCAGUAAUGACAGAUCACGGCCAUAUUAUUAAAAGCUUGUGGUAAGAAUGGGUUUCGCUCUAGUGCCCGGAAAUAAUAUUCCAAAGCCUUUGUAUGCUCUCC
RNAcentral lists this long non-coding RNA (1115 nucleotides) under Musa acuminata (dwarf banana). RNAcentral describes it as "long non-coding RNA (MACU_LNC006996)". The record is from RNAcentral. Lineage: Eukaryota; Viridiplantae; Streptophyta; Magnoliopsida; Zingiberales; Musaceae.